ACUAGACCCAGAGUGUGAAGAGCCCUAAUUUCUUGCGAGGAAGGGAGAGGAUCGAAGGCGAUGCCGGCAGUCCAGGCUCCCGGCUUCCGGGAUAGAUUCAUGCGCGCCAUCGGGCGGCGCAACUCAGUCUACCUCUCCUUUGUUCUCGUGGGCGGCAUUAUCGGCGAGCACUACACAAACAAGAUCUUUGAUAGCUGGUGGAUCAGCCACAACCGCGGGAAACUUUUCGAGGACAUUCCAGGGCUGGGCUCGAGAGCGGCAGCAGAGUAAGCAAACAUGGAUCAAGAGAAAACUUUUUUUCUCUUUGCUUUGAUGAACUGAUAAAGAUCAAUGUGAUAAAAAAACAGUUAUAUUUUU
Molecule: long non-coding RNA, 357 nt
Organism: Selaginella moellendorffii
Lineage: Eukaryota; Viridiplantae; Streptophyta; Lycopodiopsida; Selaginellales; Selaginellaceae
Exons: 3
Source: RefSeq, a predicted model, not a curated record